This 619-nucleotide ribosomal RNA is filed under the name uncultured fungus. Its description in RNAcentral is "eukaryotic LSU rRNA". The stretch from base 173 to 326 matches the Rfam family "5.8S ribosomal RNA". The record is from RNAcentral. Lineage: Eukaryota; Fungi.
UCCGUAGGUGAACCUGCGGAAGGAUCAUUAUCGUAGGGCUUCGGCCCUGUCGAGAUAGAACCCUUGCCUUUUUGAGUACCUUUCGUUUCCUCGGCAGGCUCGCCUGCCAAUGGGGACCCCAAAAAACACUUUGCAGUACCUGUAAUAGUCUGAACAAACAAACAAAAAUUAAAACUUUCAACAACGGAUCUCUUGGUUCUGGCAUCGAUGAAGAACGCAGCGAAAUGCGAUAAGUAGUGUGAAUUGCAGAAUUCAGUGAAUCAUCGAAUCUUUGAACGCACAUUGCGCCCUUUGGUAUUCCUUAGGGCAUGCCUGUUCGAGAAUCAGUUUAACCAUCAAACCUAUUUUGGAAACAAUAUAUGUUUGGACUUGGGACAUCUCGAAAGAGAGACCUUAAUUACAUUUGUUGCCCAUCUCUGACGAGACUAUAUGAAUGGCAUGACCACUGAACUCACGUUCUUCGAUUGCAGCUAGUAUUUUUUAGUCAUUGGUAUUGUACAGAAUAAAUACGAAGUUACACUAAUGUGACUUUAAGACUUGAUCUCGAAUCAGACAAGGACUACCCGGCUGGAACCUUAAGGCAUAUCAAUAAGGCGGGAGGGAAGGUCGGACUGGCCAA